ACAAUUAAGAGUUUGAUCCUUGCUCAGGAUAAACGCUAGCGGAGGGCUUAACACAUGCAAGUCGAGGGGCAGCAAAAAUAAUAUAUUAACUUAUGUAUUUUUGGCGACCGGCAAACGGGUGAGUAAUACGUACGUAACUUUCCUUAUGCUGAGGGAUAGCCUGAGGAAACUUGGAUUAAUACCUCAUAAUACAAUUUUUUAUAAAGAAAGAUUGUUAAAGUUUUAUUAUGGCAUAAGAUAGGCGUAUGCCCAAUUAGUUAGUUGGUAAGGUAAUGGCUUACCAAGACUAUGAUUGGUAGGGGGCCUGAGAGGGGCGUUCCCCCACAUUGGUACUGAGACACGGACCAAACUCCUACGGGAGGCAGCAGUGAGGAAUAUUGGUCAAUGGAGGAAACUCUGAACCAGCCACUCCGCGUGCAGGAUGAAAGCCUUAUUGGUUGUAAACUGCUUUUGUAUAUGAAUAAAAAAUUCUAAUUAUAGAAAUAAUUGAAGGUAAUAUACGAAUAAGUAUCAGCAAACUACGUGCCAGCAGCUGCGGUAAUACGUAGGAUACAAGCGUUAUCCGGAUUUAUUGGGUUUAAAGGGUGCGUAGGCGGUUUUUUAAGUCAGUAGUGAAAUCUUAAAGCUUAACUUUAAAAUUGCUAUUGAUACUGAAAAACUAGAGUUAGUUUGGAGUAGCUGGAAUGUGUGGUGUAGCGGUGAAAUGCGUAGAUAUCACACAGAACACCAAUAGCGAAAGCAAGUUACUAAGCCUAUACUGACGCUGAGGGCACGAAAGCAUGGGGAGCAAACAGGAUUAGAUACCCUGGUAGUCCAUGCUGUAAACGAUGAUCACUAACUAUUGGGUUUUGUACUUUUGUACUUUUGUACGUUGUAAUUCAGUGGUUAAGCGAAAGUGUUAAGUGAUCCACCUGAGGAGUACGACCGCAAGGUUGAAACUCAAAGGAAUUGACGGGGGCUCGCACAAUCGGUGGAGCAUGUGGUUUAAUUCGAUGAUACGCGAGGAACCUUACCAAGACUUAAAUGUACUACGAAUAAAUUGGAAACAAUUUAGUCUAGCGACGGAGUACAAGGUGCUGCAUGGUUGUCGUCAGCUCGUGCCGUGAGGUGUAAGGUUAAGUCCUUAAACGAGCGCAACCCUUAUUAUUAGUUGCCAUCGAGUAGUGUCGGGGACUCUAAUAAGACUGCCGGCGUAAGCCGAGAGGAAGGCGGGGACGACGUCAAAUCAUCACGGCCCUUACGUCUUGGGCCACACACGUGCUACAAUGAUCGGUACAAAAGGGAGCGACUGGGUGACCAGGAGCAAAUCUAGAAAGCCGAUCUCAGUUCGGAUUGGAGUCUGAAACUCGACUCUAUGAAGCUGGAAUCGAUAGUAAUCGUGCAUCAGCCAUGGCACGGUGAAUAUGUUCCCGGGCCUUGUACACACCGCCCGUCAAGCCAUGGAAGUUGGAAGUACCUAAAGUUGGUGUCCGUAAAAGGAGCUGCCUAAGGUAAGUCUAAUAACUGGGGCUAAGUCGUAACAAGGUAGCCGUACCGGAAGGUGCGGCUGGAACAUUUCUGUU
Molecule: ribosomal RNA, 1562 nt
Filed under: Candidatus Karelsulcia muelleri DMIN
Lineage: Bacteria; Pseudomonadati; Bacteroidota; Flavobacteriia; Flavobacteriales
Description: Candidatus Sulcia muelleri DMIN 16S ribosomal RNA
Rfam family: Bacterial small subunit ribosomal RNA
Source: RNAcentral